This 1825-nucleotide long non-coding RNA is filed under the name Vigna radiata. Its description in RNAcentral is "long non-coding RNA (VRAD_LNC008219)". Lineage: Eukaryota; Viridiplantae; Streptophyta; Magnoliopsida; Fabales; Fabaceae. The record is from RNAcentral.
GAGCUCACAAGUGUUCUCCUCUCAUUUGCUAAACUAGACUUAAAGUCUCAUCACCUAAAAUCUGGUAGACGGUGAGUGUGUCUUAGAUCCAAAGUCUAAGCCUCACCUAGGAGACCUCACUUUAUCUUUGCUUUUCAUUUCACCGACUAGAUAUGAUAAUGUGCGAUUAGGAAGCUCUUUUUAGGGGUCCGAAUUUAGAGUUUAGAUUUUAUCUUUGCUUUGUUUGUUGUUGUCUUUAAGACUUAGGUGGAUUUAAGAGUGAUUUUGAUCUAAAGACUCUACACUACUAUAAAACAUGCUUUUUAAGUCUGUGAAUUUAAGUCUGUUUAGAAAAAAACAGACUUAAAAAAUGUGCGGUGGCAAUUUUGUAAAUAAAAGUCAUAUUUUUACAUCUGUUACUUUUCUAACAGACUUAAAUUAGUAAUUUUACAUCUGUUACUUUUUUAACAGACUUAAAUUAUUAAUUUUACAUCUGUUAUUAUUCUAACAGACUUAAAAAUAUAUUAUUUNUAAGUCUUUUGCUUUUUUAACAGACUUGAAAAUGUCUUUUAACCUACCAGGUUUCCCAUUUUCACUUUCACUUUGACUUCCCGUAAAAAAUUUUCAUUCUUCAACCUUUUCACUGCUCCAUCUAACCUACGCAACCACCAACAACAACAACCUUUUUUCCGGCGACAACAAUAUUCUUCCGGCGACCACAGUAUUCAUCCGGCGACAACAAGAUUUUUCUGGCAACGACCACAACAACAGGUACAAUAUUAUAUUAUAAAUGAUAGGUUUUCCUAAGAAAAUGAAAUGGUGUAUGUAGAAGAUGAGUAGAUAUAAAAUGCUUAGUGAUAUUGCAAGUUUGUUCUCCUCACCAUUGUUGGUUUUCUGAAGUUUCUGAUGUUUUAGAAAAUGUAGAAGAUGUGUUUUUACAGUUUUAGAAAAUAUUGAGGUUGAGUAUAUUGGCCACGUCUGAGUGUUUAAACUUGUUACACUGUUGAUGGUUGCACAGCCAAAAUCUUUGGAACCGCUAGGAUGGUUGUUGAUAAGUUUGAAGAACAACUCUCGUAGCUUUGGUUGCUUGCUCUGUCAUUUCCAAACAAGAAAGUAGAAAAUAGAAACCACAAGAAAAAACUAAAACCACCUCUGGAACGAGUUUCCAACUAAAUGAGAAGAGAAAUCUCUUCUCCUAAAAAAGAUUUAAAUGGCCAAAACACAGCAUUUAUGCUCAGUUGUCGCUGCCAAUCCCAUGACCCAUGUAAUAUAUAUUUAGUUUCCAACUAAAUAUAAAUUUUCUUAUACGAUGAAAACUAAAAUCUUAGAGGAUGGUUUUGUUGAAGGCCAUGACCCAUGUAAGGUUUCUUACCGAAAUCGAAAGGAGCAAGAUUUCCCUACAUCAGCAACAUAUUUCCUCUGAACAAAUCAUUCAUGUGACUCUGUCCAUUCCUCAAUCUCUUCAAGGCAUUGCGCCAUCGAACCCUAAAUUUAGACAGAAACUUGCUUCUUUUUCUAAGAAAUAUUCUCAGUGCUGCAACACGAAGCCUUGGCCUUCUUCUACCUGCUAGAGCCCGAAACUUAAGCCACGCCCUUGCUUUUUUCACUUCUUUCCUUACUAUCUCUUCUUCCAAUUCUUCAUUUUUCAGUCUUCUGUAAGAUUGUUUGCCUACUGAAGCCAUUGCGGAGCUACCCUGCUUCAGAAUGCCUUUAUUGGUUGUUAGUUGGGAAUAGAUAUGUUUCUUGGAUGAUUUUGGAAACUAAAAGUAACUGCAUGUGCAAAUUAGUUGGCUGCAAUUAAUGGGACUAAUGGUGCUGGAAUUUAUUGGUAAAACUCAUUUAAUGG